Molecule: ribosomal RNA, 945 nt
Filed under: uncultured archaeon
Lineage: Archaea
Description: bacterial SSU rRNA
Rfam family: Archaeal small subunit ribosomal RNA
Source: RNAcentral
UUCCGGUUGAUCCUGCCGGACCCUACUGCUAUCGGGGUGGGACUAAGACAUGCGAGUCGUGCGUCUCUAAGCUAUGGUAGAGACGCGGCAUACGGCUCAGUAACACGUGGCUAACCUACCCUUAGGACGGAGACAACCCCGGGAAACUGGGGCUAAUACCCGAUAGGUGAGGAGGCCUGGAAUGGUUCUUCGCUGAAAAGGCGUUGAAACCAUGCUUUUCAACGUCGCCUAAGGAUGGGGCCGCGCCCGAUCAGGUUGUUGGUGGGGUAACGGCUCACCAAGCCUAUAACCGGUACGGGCCGUGAGAGCGGGAGCCCGGAGAUGGGCACUGAGACAAGGGCCCAGGCCCUACGGGGCGCAGCAGUCGCGAAAACUCCGCAAUGCGCGAAAGCGUGACGGGGCUACCCCGAGUGCCGUCCGCUGAGGAUGGCUUUUCCCCGGUGUAAUGAGCCGGGGGAAUAAGGAGAGGGCAAGUCUGGUGUCAGCCGCCGCGGUAAUACCAGCUCUCCGAGUGGUAGGGACGAUUAUUGGGCUUAAAGCGUCCGUAGCCGGCUUAGCAAGUCUCCUGUUAAAUUCAGCGACCUAAUCGUUGAGCCGCGGGAGAUACUACUAGGCUAGGAGGCGGGAGAGGCCGACGGUAUUCCCGAGGUAGGGGUGAAAUCCUAUAAUCUCGGGAGGACCACCAGUGGCGAAGGCUGUCGGCUAGAACGCGCUCGACGGUGAGGGACGAAAGCUGGGGGAGCGAACCGGAUUAGAUACCCGGGUAGUCCCAGCUGUAAACGAUGCGGGCUAGUGGUUGGGGUGGCUACGAGCCACUUCAGUGCGCAGGGAAGCCAUUAAGCCCGCGCCUGCGGAGUACGGGCGGCAAGGCUGAAACUUAAAGGAAUUGGCGAGGGAGCACAUCAGCGGGGAGCCUUGCUGAUUGAAUUGGAUGCAAACCCGGGC